UGCUAAUACCGUAUAACAAUCAAAACCGCAUGGUUUUGAUUUGAAAGGCGCUUUCGGGUGUCGCUGAUGGAUGGACCCGCGGUGCAUUAGCUAGUUGGUGAGGUAACGGCUCACCAAGGCCACGAUGCAUAGCCGACCUGAGAGGGUGAUCGGCCACAUUGGGACUGAGACACGGCCCAAACUCCUACGGGAGGCAGCAGUAGGGAAUCUUCGGCAAUGGACGAAAGUCUGACCGAGCAACGCCGCGUGAGUGAAGAAGGUUUUCGGAUCGUAAAACUCUGUUGUUAGAGAAGAACAAGGAUGAGAGUAACUGUUCAUCCCUUGACGGUAUCUAACCAGAAAGCCACGGCUAACUACGUGCCAGCAGCCGCGGUAAUACGUAGGUGGCAAGCGUUGUCCGGAUUUAUUGGGCGUAAAGCGAGCGCAGGCGGUUUCUUAAGUCUGAUGUGAAAGCCCCCGGCUCAACCGGGGAGGGUCAUUGGAAACUGGGAGACUUGAGUGCAGAAGAGGAGAGUGGAAUUCCAUGUGUAGCGGUGAAAUGCGUAGAUAUAUGGAGGAACACCAGUGGCGAAGGCGGCUCUCUGGUCUGUAACUGACGCUGAGGCUCGAAAGCGUGGGGAGCAAACAGGAUUAGAUACCCUGGUAGUCCACGCCGUAAACGAUGAGUGCUAAGUGUUGGAGGGUUUCCGCCCUUCAGUGCUGCAGCUAACGCAUUAAGCACUCCGCCUGGGGAGUACGACCGCAAGGUUGAAACUCAAAGGAAUUGACGGGGGCCCGCACAAGCGGUGGAGCAUGUGGUUUAAUUCGAAGCAACGCGAAGAACCUUACCAGGUCUUGACAUCCUUUGACCACUCUAGAGAUAGAGCUUCCCCUUCGGGGGCAAAGUGACAGGUGGUGCAUGGUUGUCGUCAGCUCGUGUCGUGAGAUGUUGGGUUAAGUCCCGCAACGAGCGCAACCCUUAUUGUUAGUUGCCAUCAUUCAGUUGGGCACUCUAGCAAGACUGCCGGUGACAAACCGGAGGAAGGUGGGGAUGACGUCAAAUCAUCAUGCCCCUUAUGACCUGGGCUACACACGUGCU
This 1078-nucleotide ribosomal RNA is filed under the name Enterococcus faecium. RNAcentral describes it as "bacterial SSU rRNA". It matches the Rfam family "Bacterial small subunit ribosomal RNA", at positions 161 to 1226 of the family's 1533-position model. The record is from RNAcentral. Lineage: Bacteria; Bacillati; Bacillota; Bacilli; Lactobacillales; Enterococcaceae.